GUCUGUGGUGCCUUACUCGAGAGAGUAGCAAUCAUAUGGUAAUCACGUAUGAUUGAAACCUCUACGAGUAGUGUAACACAUGA
This 83-nucleotide microRNA precursor is filed under the name Nomascus leucogenys (northern white-cheeked gibbon). Lineage: Eukaryota; Metazoa; Chordata; Mammalia; Primates; Hylobatidae. The record is from RNAcentral.